GAAACAGAGUAUUACCCAUCACCUAAGAGGCCUCAAGGCCAACCAGAUGGGCCAACCAGUCCCAUCUCAAUCUCAACCACCUACCUUUCUCCAUUAUUGGACUUUACAUGGUAAUUUCUAACUUUUCUUUAUACUUUUAUCACACAAAUAUGCCUCAUUAGAACCUAUAGUUUAGUUUUUUUUGUGUGUGUGUUUUAAAGAAAUGUAUCUUUUAAGCCUCUUUUGAUUGAAAGGAUCUCCCCUCCACCUCUGCUUUUCCCAGGAAAUUUAUUCAUUAGAGAAUCUGGGUCAUUAGGUCUGUGAAGUUUCCCAUAGUCUGUAAUUUGCUGAUUGCAUCCAUAUGGUUUAAUUUGACAUGUUCUUCUGUCCUCUUGUUUUAACCUGUGGAAUGGUAGUUGCAUCUAAAGCAGUGGUUUUUAAUGGGGAGUGAUUCUGCUCUUCCUGCCUGGGGACUUUUGGCAGUGUUUAGAGACUUUUAUUUUUUUAAUUUUUUCCCACUGUACAGCAAGGGGAUCAAGUUAUCCUUACAUGUAUACAUUUUUCCCCCCACCCUUUGUUCUGUUGCAAUAUGAGUAUCUAGACAAAGUUCUCAAUGCUACUCAGCAGGAUCUCCUUGUAAAUCUAUUCUAAGUUGUGUCUGAUAACCCCAAGCUCCUGAUCCCUCCCACUCCCUCCCUCUCCCAUCAGGCAGCCACAAGUCUUUUCUCCAAGUCCAUGAUUUUCUUUUCUGAGGAGAUGUUCAUUUGUGCUGGAUAUUAGAUUCCAGUUAUAAGUGAUAUCAUAUGGUAUUUGUCUUUGUCUUUCUGGCUCAUUUCACUCAGUAUGAGAUUCUCUAGUUCCAUCCAUGUUGCUGCAAAUGGCAUUAUGUCAUUCUUUUUUAUGGCUGAGUAGUAUUCCAUUGUGUAUAUAUACCACCUCUUCCGAAUCCAAUCAUCUGUCGAUGGACAUUUGGGUUGUUUCCAUGUCCUGGCUAUUGUGAAUAGUGCUGCAAUGAACAUGCGGGUGCAUGUGUCUCUUUUAAGUAGAGUUUUGUCCGGAUAUAUGCCCAAGAGUGGGAUUGCGGGGUCAUAUGGAAGUUCUAUGUGGAGAUUUCUAAGGUAUCUCCAAACUGUUCUCCAUAGUGGCUGUACCAGUUGACAUUCCCACCAACAGUGCAGGAGGGUUCCCACAGCCCCUCCAGCACUUGUUAUCUGUGGACUUAUGAAUGAUGGCCAUUCUGACUGGUAUGAGGUGGUAUCUAUCUCAUGGUAGUUUUGAUUUGCAUUUCUCUUAUAAUCAGUGAUGUUGAGCAUUUUUUCAUGUGUUUGCUGGCCAUCUGUAUAUCUUCCUUGGAGAACAGUCUAUUCAGGUCUUUUGCCCAUUUUUACAUUGGUUGAUUGGCUUUUUUGCUGUUGAGUUGUAUGUUUAGAGACUUUUUAAAAAAACUUUUAUAUUGGGGUGGGUGGUGCUACUGCAUAUCUUACAACACACAGGCCAGAUCCCCACAGCAAGAAGUUAUCUGGCUCCAAACACCAUUUAGUGGUGAAGUUGAGAAAUCCCAGUCUAGAGGUUUGUUCAGAUUCAGGUUCAUUUUUUUUUGUGUGUGGCAAAAACAGCAACAACAACAAAAGAUGGUGUGAUGUGUGAUCUUUCAUCACACCAUCAUAGCAUAAUGUCUGGAUAUCUGUAUUUUUAUGAUAAUAGAAACUUUUUUUUUUUUUGGCUUUUUGCCUUUUCUAGGGCCGCACCCACGUGGCUCAGUUCUGGCUUUGCUGUGGCUCUGGUGUAGGCUGGCAGCUACAGCUCAGGUUCAACCUCUAGCCUGGGAACCUCCAUAUACCAUAGGUGUGGCCCUAAAAAGAUAAAAAAAAAAAAAAAAAAAAAAAAAAAAA
RNAcentral lists this long non-coding RNA (1871 nucleotides) under Sus scrofa (pig). RNAcentral's name for it is "lncRNA (ENSSSCG00055011110.1)". The record is from RNAcentral. Lineage: Eukaryota; Metazoa; Chordata; Mammalia; Artiodactyla; Suidae.